UACGGAGGGUGCAAGCGUUAAUCGGAAUUACUGGGCGUAAAGCGUGCGCAGGCGGUUUGUUAAGUCUGCUGUGAAAUCCCCGAGCUCAACUUGGGAAUUGCAGUGGAUACUGGCAGGCUGGAGUAUGGUAGAGGAAGGUGGAAUUCCCGGUGUAGCAGUGAAAUGCGUAGAGAUCGGGAGGAACACCAGUGGCGAAGGCGGCCUUCUGGACCAAUACUGACGCUCAUGCACGAAAGCGUGGGGAGCAAACAGG
This 253-nucleotide ribosomal RNA is filed under the name uncultured bacterium. RNAcentral's name for it is "partial 16S ribosomal RNA". It matches the Rfam family "Bacterial small subunit ribosomal RNA", at positions 524 to 776 of the family's 1533-position model. The record is from RNAcentral.